AAAUUGAAGAGUUUGAUCAUGGCUCAGAUUGAACGCUGGCGGCAGGCCUAACACAUGCAAGUCGAACGGUAACAGGAAGCAGCUUGCUGCUUUGCUGACGAGUGGCGGACGGGUGAGUAAUGUCUGGGAAACUGCCUGAUGGAGGGGGAUAACUACUGGAAACGGUGGCUAAUACCGCAUAACGUCGCAAGACCAAAGAGGGGGACCUUCGGGCCUCUUGCCAUCAGAUGUGCCCAGAUGGGAUUAGCUUGUUGGUGAGGUAACGGCUCACCAAGGCGACGAUCCCUAGCUGGUCUGAGAGGAUGACCAGCCACACUGGAACUGAGACACGGUCCAGACUCCUACGGGAGGCAGCAGUGGGGAAUAUUGCACAAUGGGCGCAAGCCUGAUGCAGCCAUGCCGCGUGUAUGAAGAAGGCCUUCGGGUUGUAAAGUACUUUCAGCGGGGAGGAAGGUGUUGCGGUUAAUAACCGCAGCAAUUGACGUUACCCGCAGAAGAAGCACCGGCUAACUCCGUGCCAGCAGCCGCGGUAAUACGGAGGGUGCAAGCGUUAAUCGGAAUUACUGGGCGUAAAGCGCACGCAGGCGGUCUGUCAAGUCGGAUGUGAAAUCCCCGGGCUCAACCUGGGAACUGCAUUCGAAACUGGCAGGCUUGAGUCUUGUAGAGGGGGGUAGAAUUCCAGGUGUAGCGGUGAAAUGCGUAGAGAUCUGGAGGAAUACCGGUGGCGAAGGCGGCCCCCUGGACAAAGACUGACGCUCAGGUGCGAAAGCGUGGGGAGCAAACAGGAUUAGAUACCCUGGUAGUCCACGCCGUAAACGAUGUCUACUUGGAGGUUGUGCCCUUGAGGCGUGGCUUCCGGAGCUAACGCGUUAAGUAGACCGCCUGGGGAGUACAGCCGCAAGGUUAAAACUCAAAUGAAUUGACGGGGGCCCGCACAAGCGGUGGAGCAUGUGGUUUAAUUCGAUGCAACGCGAAGAACCUUACCUGGUCUUGACAUCCACGGAAGUUUUCAGAGAUGAGAAUGUGCCUUCGGG
Molecule: ribosomal RNA, 1034 nt
Filed under: Salmonella enterica
Lineage: Bacteria; Pseudomonadati; Pseudomonadota; Gammaproteobacteria; Enterobacterales; Enterobacteriaceae
Description: bacterial SSU rRNA
Rfam family: Bacterial small subunit ribosomal RNA
Source: RNAcentral